RNAcentral lists this ribosomal RNA (439 nucleotides) under uncultured bacterium. RNAcentral's name for it is "bacterial SSU rRNA". It matches the Rfam family "Bacterial small subunit ribosomal RNA", at positions 954 to 1392 of the family's 1533-position model. The record is from RNAcentral.
GCAUAACGCGAAGAACCUUACCAGGUCUUGACAUCCCCCUGACCGGUACAGAGAUGUACCUUUCCUUCGGGACAGGGGAGACAGGUGGUGCAUGGUUGUCGUCAGCUCGUGUCGUGAGAUGUUGGGUUAAGUCCCGCAACGAGCGCAACCCUUGACUUUAGUUGCCAGCAAGUAAGGUUGGGCACUCUAGAGUGACUGCCGGUGACAAACCGGAGGAAGGUGGGGAUGACGUCAAAUCAUCAUGCCCCUUAUGACCUGGGCUACACACGUACUACAAUGGCCGGUACAACGGGAAGCGAAGGAGCGAUCUGGAGCGAAUCCUUUAAAGCCGGUCUCAGUUCGGAUUGCAGGCUGCAACUCGCCUGCAUGAAGUCGGAAUUGCUAGUAAUCGCGGAUCAGCAUGCCGCGGUGAAUACGUUCCCGGGUCUUGUACACACCG